GGGGGCGACCCGGUUUCGACGUGGGUUACAAAACUUGAGGUGCAUGCCGAGCGACGUAACAACGCUCGUAAAUCAGAAGUUACAUAAAUAUAGUUGCAAAAAAUGACAACUACUACGGUGCAGAGUUAGCCCAAGCUGCGUAAGCAGUGAAAGCCUUCUCGUCUGUCGCUUAAUAACCGACAACACCCCAUUGCCUCGCCGUGCUUGUGCGGAGAGUCACAAUGGUCAUCACUCACAAGCUCGUUAUGGAAUAUGGCUCGUACUUCUGUAAUUAAAACUUGAGAGCUCGCUUUCGAUUUUUCCUGCACGUCGGAUAGUCGAUCGUUAAAUGAAAGACGGUGAUAAGCAUGUAGACCCAAUGGCAGCGGACUUGCGGACGCGGGUUCAAUUCCCGCCGCCUCCACCA
This 406-nucleotide transfer-messenger RNA is filed under the name Coxiellaceae. Its description in RNAcentral is "2-12-FULL-42-15 sp001797285 Standard tmRNA". It matches the Rfam family "transfer-messenger RNA". From Rfam's summary of the family: Bacterial tmRNA, also known as 10Sa RNA or SsrA, is named for its dual tRNA and mRNA-like properties. Its role is to liberate the mRNA from a stalled ribosome. The record is from RNAcentral. Lineage: Bacteria; Pseudomonadati; Pseudomonadota; Gammaproteobacteria; Legionellales. RNAcentral also lists the same sequence under 1 other name.